UGAAGUACGGAUAUUAAUAAUCAAUAAUUUUGGCUUGUCCAUCAUUAUCUAUUUACUGUGAACUGUAUUAUUACUUGACGCUUGAGGGAUGUUCCAAUGCUAUAAGGAUAGGCACUGGAAAUGUUAACCGAGUCAUAAUCAAGCUUAGGCUUGGUAUCCUAUUAUUAUUUACCAAAAGAAUUCAGAAUUAAUAUUGUAACAUAGACGUAAAAAAUCUAUAAAACAACUUUUAACAACGGAUCUCUUGGUUCUCGCAUCGAUGAAGAACGUAGCAAAGUGCGAUAACUAGUGUGAAUUGCAUAUUCAGUGAAUCAUCGAGUCUUUGAACGCAACUUGCGCUCAUUGGUAUUCCAAUGAGCACGCCUGUUUCAGUAUCAAAACAAACCCUCUAUCCAACUUUUGUUGAAUAGGAUGACUGAGAGUCUCUUGAUCUAUUCUGAUCUUGAACCUCUUGAAAUAUACAAAGGCCUGAUCUUGUUUGAAUGCCUGAACUUUUUUUUAAUAUAAAGAGAAGCUCUUGCGAUAAAACUGUGCUGGGGCCUCCCAAAUAACACAUCUUUAAAUUUGAUCUGAAAUCAGGUGGGAUUACCCGCUGAACUUAA
Molecule: unclassified non-coding RNA, 602 nt
Filed under: Circinomucor sp. 1 ERP-2018
Lineage: Eukaryota; Fungi; Mucoromycota; Mucoromycetes; Mucorales; Mucoraceae
Description: sequence contains 18S rRNA gene, ITS1, 5.8S rRNA gene, ITS2, 28S rRNA gene
Rfam family: 5.8S ribosomal RNA (bases 225-377)
Source: RNAcentral